GCCCAGCUAGCUCAACAGGAUAGAGCAGCAGAGAUCAAAGGUAGAUGAUUCUUGGGACGAUCGGCUGCUAUUGAGUAGCUGAUCUUUCUACAAGGGAAGAAUCUGCCUCUUCUGAAGAUGUGGGUUCAAAUCCCAAGCUGGGCG
Molecule: non-coding RNA, 144 nt
Organism: Guyanagaster necrorhizus
Lineage: Eukaryota; Fungi; Basidiomycota; Agaricomycetes; Agaricales; Physalacriaceae
Source: the annotation of a RefSeq genome assembly